RNAcentral lists this ribosomal RNA (423 nucleotides) under uncultured Oscillibacter sp. Its description in RNAcentral is "bacterial SSU rRNA". It matches the Rfam family "Bacterial small subunit ribosomal RNA", at positions 355 to 793 of the family's 1533-position model. The record is from RNAcentral. Lineage: Bacteria; Bacillati; Bacillota; Clostridia; Eubacteriales; Oscillospiraceae.
UGGGGAAUAUUGGGCAAUGGGCGCAAGCCUGACCCAGCAACGCCGCGUGAAGGAAGAAGGCUUUCGGGUUGUAAACUUCUUUUAAGAGGGAAGAGCAGAAGACGGUACCUCUAGAAUAAGCCACGGCUAACUACGUGCCAGCAGCCGCGGUAAUACGUAGGUGGCAAGCGUUGUCCGGAUUUACUGGGUGUAAAGGGCGUGCAGCCGGGUCUGCAAGUCAGAUGUGAAAUCCAUGGGCUCAACCCAUGAACUGCAUUUGAAACUGUAGAUCUUGAGUGUCGGAGGGGCAAUCGGAAUUCCUAGUGUAGCGGUGAAAUGCGUAGAUAUUAGGAGGAACACCAGUGGCGAAGGCGGAUUGCUGGACGAUAACUGACGGUGAGGCGCGAAAGUGUGGGGAGCAAACAGGAUUAGAUACCCUGGUAG